AUUGAACGCUGGCGGCAUGCUUUACACAUGCAAGUCGAACGGCAGCACAGGGAGCUUGCUCCUGGGUGGCGAGUGGCGAACGGGUGAGUAAUGUAUCGGAACGUGCCUGGUAGUGGGGGAUAACUACUCGAAAGAGUGGCUAAUACCGCAUGAGAUCUUUGGAUGAAAGCGGGGGACCUUCGGGCCUCGUGCUACUGGAGCGGCCGAUAUCAGAUUAGGUUGUUGGUGGGGUAAAGGCCUACCAAGCCUGCGAUCUGUAGCUGGUCUGAGAGGACGACCAGCCACACUGGGACUGAGACACGGCCCAGACUCCUACGGGAGGCAGCAGUGGGGAAUUUUGGACAAUGGGGGCAAGCCUGAUCCAGCAAUGCCGCGUGCAGGACGAAGGCCUUCGGGUUGUAAACUGCUUUUGUACAGAACGAAAAGUCUCUGGCUAAUAUCUAGAGAUCAUGACGGUACUGUAAGAAUAAGCACCGGCUAACUACGU
This 487-nucleotide ribosomal RNA is filed under the name uncultured bacterium. Its description in RNAcentral is "partial 16S ribosomal RNA". It matches the Rfam family "Bacterial small subunit ribosomal RNA", at positions 30 to 506 of the family's 1533-position model. The record is from RNAcentral.